RNAcentral lists this ribosomal RNA (403 nucleotides) under uncultured bacterium. RNAcentral's name for it is "partial 16S ribosomal RNA". It matches the Rfam family "Bacterial small subunit ribosomal RNA", at positions 28 to 526 of the family's 1533-position model. The record is from RNAcentral.
GACGAACGCUGGCGGCGUGCCUAAUACAUGCAAGUCGAACGCAGUGGGGACGGGUGAGUAACACGUGGGUAACCUCCCAUCAGACGGGAUAAAACUUGGAAACAGGUGCUCAACCGAUACUGAUGGAUGGACUCGCGGUGCAUUAGCGAGUUGGUGGGGUAACGGCUCACCAAGGCCACGAUCCAUAGCCGGCCUGAGAGGAUGACCUGCCACACUGGGACUGAGACACGGCCCAGACUCCUACGGGAGGCAGCAGUAGGGAAUCUUGCGCAAUGGGCGAAAUUCUGACCGAGCAACGCCGCGUGUGUGAAGAAGGGUUUCGGAUCGUAAAACACUGUUGUUGGGGAAGCGGUACCUAACCAGAAAGCCACGGCUAACUACGUGCCAGCAGCCGCGGUAAUAC